Molecule: ribosomal RNA, 253 nt
Filed under: uncultured bacterium
Lineage: Bacteria
Description: partial 16S ribosomal RNA
Rfam family: Bacterial small subunit ribosomal RNA
Source: RNAcentral
UACAGAGGGUGCAAGCGUUAAUCGGAAUUACUGGGCGUAAAGCGUGCGUAGACGGUUGCGUAAGUCAGAUGUGAAAGCCCCGGGCUCAACCUGGGAAUUGCAUUUGAGACUGCGUAGCUAGGGUGCGGAAGAGGGAAGCGGAAUUUCCGGUGUAGCGGUGAAAUGCGUAGAUAUGUGGAGGAAUACCGAUGGCGAAGGCAGCCCCCUGGGAUAACACUGACGCUCAUGCACGAAAGCGUGGGGAGCAAACAGG